UUGUCCAGAUAGUUAGGUGAGAUUGAACAGUAGACCAACCCAGUGACACCUUAGUAACUUCAUUGUAUGAUACGGAUGUUGUUCUUAUCAUCAUUCAUGGGUGUUUUUUGAUACUCUAAAUGAAUUUGAUUUAAUCAAGUGAAAGGAAAUUUUCCAAUUUUCCAUUAUUUUAACCCUUAAUGAUUAAAGUAAAUCGAUGCAAAUAAUGGUAAACCAGUGUUAAGACAUUGGACGCUGAUUGUGCAUAUCGAUACUGAUUACACCAGUUCACACAAUUUUCAUGAUAAUUUCUAAUCAAUAACCGUUUUUAUUUUUCCUUUUCCAGUUUCAGUUCCAGGAUAAACAGCAGAACGGUCAUUAACCCAUCACCUAAUCACUGGAAUUUCAGAUUGUUGAAUUGAAAAGUCGAAAAGAUGUGAACUUGUCUCAUACAAAUAAUGUAAAUGAUCCGUUGAACACAUGUAGGUACUGAUGAUAAAUAUGCAAAACCCAGAGCAAGGAUGAUUAUGGUUAAACUAAAGACGACGGAUAAAGACACAAUUAACAUUGGACUGAUUUUUGGAUCAGCUACAGAAGGCCAAAAGGUUAAAUAACAAUCAGACAAUUGUUGGUAUGAUGAGCAGUAGCCAUUCUGUAGCUCCAUUGUGGCUGAGAUCAAUUCCUGGUCAUUGAAAUAAAAUUGAGACUCAUCAUCGGGACACAGAUCAAGAACCAAAUUUUUUAAACACUCAUUUCCCUCCCAAAAUGAGCAGCAAGAUGAUUUAGUCUCUUCUUUAUCGGAUAAUUGGUACCAUUUCUCCAUUGAAUUGUAAACACAAUCAGCAAAGGCUGCCUGAUGGUUGUAUAAACAUUUCCUCAAAUUGUACUUCAACUUUGAAUAGCAAAUGUUGUAUAAAUCUGAAGUAUCGACAUUGGUAGCACCAGAGAAGUCAUUUUCCGCCUUUUCCGGAUCGGAUGCUUGGCAUAUUGAAGAGUUGCUGAUUAAAAUAGUAACUGUCCAAAUUAAUUUGAUAAUAGUUGACCUGGUCGGUGUGUUUAAUGUGGUUAAAGAUGGUAAAUUUAUAUUCAAAAAGAAACACAUGGUUUAGUUUAUGUUGGAUUAACCAAUCUUCAAACAAUCCGUAAUUAUUUACCAAUAAUUAUGUUGAACAAGGCAAGAAAUACCAAUGCAGAUCAAUAAGCAUUAAUAAACACAUGUUGAUCAACCAGACUAUUUAUAAAGAUCCGAUUGAACCAAUGAAUGAACAUGAACAUGGAACAAAAAAACGCCUUCCUAAUUUAGGAAUAGUUUAUUCAGUGAAAAAUAGUUUUAUAAAUCAAAUGAAGAUAUCAAGCCCAACACGAAGCUAAUACAUAAAAAUCUACAUAAAAAGUUAUGAAAGCUGAGCUUAUCUUGAUUGGAUUCAAUGUUGGAAAAUUUAUGCAAAUUUCACCAAAAAUUUUUCAUAGUUUUUCAAGUUAAACAUGGAAAAAUGGAUUGAAUUGAGAUUACAAAUUCAUUAUGGAUCAGUCAAUUGAAACAUUAUGGAUAAGAAGCAAAACCAAAUAUACCUGUUGAUGGAUAUCAGUAAAGCAAGCUUUGGGACUAAGAGAGACUCAUUGAAUUAAUUUUUUCAAUAACUUAUUCUUGAUGGUUUAAGUUCAACAUGGCCUGACAUUUUUACAAUCUUGAUUAUCUUUGAACUUGAACCAGAUUAAUCUUGAAGCUUUUCAUUAAAUCGUCAUCUCAUUCAGCUCGAGACUAUAAAUAAAGCAUAAAGGCUCUUAAUUGUAACAUUGAUGUCCAUAGUUAAACCUUGACAUAUUUAACAACAUUGAAUAUGAUCUGAAAAUAAAAUUGCAAGACCUUUUGACAUUAUCAAGUGCAAAUGAGUUUUAACGCAAACUCACCAGCUUUUAACUCCCAGACAUUUUUCCAACUGAUAACAGAGUUUUGUUGAACAGUUGGAUGAUAAUAUCUUACCUUUACUCAUCCAUUUAAUCAUUCAAUUUAUAUAUCGACAACAGAUUCGAUUGAUUUGGCCAGUAAAUCACGGGAAAGAAAAGAGGAAGAAAAGUAAACUCAAAUAUUCAGUGAUGUCUACAAAUAAGGCAAAUUGUGGUGACCAAAAGGACAACAAUGAAGGCUCUGUAAAGGACAAUGUGAAAGAUGUUAAUAACAAUGAAAACAAUGUUAAAAGUGUUCAUUGUAAGGAUAAUUGUUUACCCGUUGUUAAUCAUGCCAUUUCGGGUGGUUCAUCAAAGGAGAAACAAUGUUCAGGUAAACGUUUUAGGUUACCCUUUUUUAAUAAAAAAACUGUCAAACCUGGUAAACCGAUUGAUGAAACCAUCAAUGAGGAAGGUUUGAUCUCGGGAAGGCGAAGGACUUCAUCCGUUGGAGAGAAAGAUAUGGAAACUGUUCGUAAAAAUUCAAAAGCUUUGGCCAUUCGUCGUGGUCCACACGAUAUUGAACCUGAAACUCAAUCAGCUCCAGUCAAUUGAAAGAUUUACAUCAACAUAUGGUCAAGUGUUUUGCUACUAUUCAACAUUUUCAAUAUAAAUGUCAACUCGUUUCCUUCAAAAUUAUUAUUAACUUCACUGAAUGUUGUCCAUAUUAUAUUAUUUAAUUUGAUUGUUUAAUGGUUGAUUUUAAUCAUCACCAUCAUCAGUACCAUCGUCCGUCAACGAAAUUCAAUCAAAAAAAGUAUAAUUAGUGCCCAACAAUAGAUGUGGCAAUUUAUUUCAAUUAUUUUGUCUUCCAUGUUAAACCUAAAUGUUUAACCUUGUUUUUUUUCGUUGUGACCAAAUUUUGUGCUCAACUUGUUAAAUUAUAAUUUAUUGAUUGUAAUUACAAAUGUUUCUCCAUCAAUAUAUAAUUAUAAAUCUAUAUGUAAACAAUUUAUGACUAAUUAACCUACAAAAUACAAUAAAAGAGCAAAGUCA
Non-coding RNA from Tetranychus urticae (two-spotted spider mite), 2922 nucleotides. Lineage: Eukaryota; Metazoa; Arthropoda; Arachnida; Trombidiformes; Tetranychidae. The record is from RefSeq and is a predicted model, not a curated record.